Non-coding RNA from Gasterosteus aculeatus aculeatus (three-spined stickleback), 1128 nucleotides. The record is from RefSeq and is a predicted model, not a curated record. Lineage: Eukaryota; Metazoa; Chordata; Actinopteri; Perciformes; Gasterosteidae.
GUGGUCUCUGGAGACCAGACUGAAUCAGAGGCAGAGAGAUGUGAUGCAGCGACGGCGGCACCAAACGUCUGAGGUGAGGAACCAGCGAGCGCGUGUGUUCACGAGGAAGAGAAAAGGGGGGAGGAGAGGAGGGGAGAGAGGCAGCGAUGUGAUGUGAUGGCUUAAGAGAGAGGAGGGGGGGGGUUCUACUGCUGAGUAAUAUCUCGCUAUUGUUAAAUGAAAGGCAAAGGUAUGAUAUGUUCUUCUUCUUUUCUCUUCUCAAGACUGGUCCUCGAGAAGAAAAAAAACAUCUGGGUUUGGUUUGUUAGAAAAAAUGUGGGUGAGAAAAAAACAAACAAACAAACAAACCAACAGUGGUUCAGAGAGGAGCAGAGCGGGAGGGAAAGCUCAGCGGGGAACAACAGCAAGUCAAUACCACGUUGGGGUUUGGAAAACGUGGACGAUUGGACAAUGAAUCCUGCGCCUGGAGACACCUGUUCCACAGAAUGAGCAUCACUUAUCCUUUUUUCUUCUCCUGGAUCCCAACCGACAUGAUUCACACGGAGAAACCACAACCCGCUGAAAAUGAAUACACACACAUUUGUAAGCUACAAAUGGAUCUUCAAGACGUCACUACUCAUGUGACUUCUUGUAUAUUCUUUGAAGCCUUCUGGAAACUGUCCCACUUGAUCUCAUCCACUUUCCAGGCGAGUGUGCCUAAUAUCUUUUUUUAGUUGUGAGUCAAGCAUAAUUGCACAGCAGUUGCCAUUGAUGGUGUGUGACAUAGUGUGACACUAUCGCAAUGAUUUUAAGAUCUCUAUGGACAUUUGUGUUGCACUCUCUCUCAUCUUUUACAGCCCACCUGGAGCAAUGCGAGGAUCUGAUUACUCCCCUUUUAGGGUCUGCGUCUGUCAAAGAUGCUAAUCAAUUUACUGAUUGAUUCAGUGUCAAAUUAAAUAGCCCAGUAAACCUUAGUCUUUAUGCGAGUCCUCAAGGACCUCUUGGACAUCAGAGGAGUCCAUGUGCACAAGAUCAAGGUUAAAGUAGCUCUCCGUGUGCAGGCUUGUUUAUGUCUGCGUGUCCUCUGUCAAAUGGGAAAAUUGUGUUUUCAUCAGGACUGUGGAGUGAUUAAACGAUGAUGUAACCAUU